ACUCCUACGGGAGGCAGCAGUGGGGAAUCUUGCGCAAUGGCCGCAAGGCUGACGCAGCGACGCCGCGUGUGGGAGGACGCCCUUCGGGGUGUAAACCACUGUUGCCCGGGACGAACGGGCGGAUUCGUCCGCCGUGACGGUACCGGGUGAGGAAGCACCGGCUAACUCCGUGCCAGCAGCCGCGGUAAUACGGAGGGUGCGAGCGUUGUCCGGAAUCACUGGGCGUAAAGGGCGCGUAGGCGGCUCCAUAAGCGGGCGGUGAAAGCCCGGGGCUCAACCCCGGGUCGGCCGUGCGGACUGUGGGGCUGGAGCACUGUAGAGGCGGGUGGAAUUCCGGGUGUAGCGGUGGAAUGCGUAGAGAUCCGGAAGAACACCGGUGGCGAAGGCGGCCCGCUGGGCAGUGGCUGACGCUGAGGCGCGACAGCGUGGGGAGCAAACAGGAUUAGAUACCCUGGUAG
This 458-nucleotide ribosomal RNA is filed under the name uncultured Gemmatimonadota bacterium. RNAcentral describes it as "bacterial SSU rRNA". It matches the Rfam family "Bacterial small subunit ribosomal RNA", at positions 335 to 793 of the family's 1533-position model. Lineage: Bacteria; Pseudomonadati; Gemmatimonadota. The record is from RNAcentral.